This 253-nucleotide ribosomal RNA is filed under the name uncultured bacterium. RNAcentral describes it as "partial 16S ribosomal RNA". It matches the Rfam family "Bacterial small subunit ribosomal RNA", at positions 524 to 776 of the family's 1533-position model. The record is from RNAcentral.
UACGUAGGGUGCAAGCGUUGUCCGGAAUUAUUGGGCGUAAAGAGCUUGUAGGCGGUUUGUCGCGUCUGCUGUGAAAUUUCGGGGCUCAACCCCGAACUUGCAGUGGGUACGGGCAGACUAGAGUGUGGUAGGGGAGACUGGAAUUCCUGGUGUAGCGGUGAAAUGCGCAGAUAUCAGGAGGAACACCGAUGGCGAAGGCAGGUCUCUGGGCCACUACUGACGCUGAGAAGCGAAAGCAUGGGGAACGAACAGG